AACUAUGAGCAAAACUUACGGCACUUAGAAUACUGGCUGAUAUCAAUAUAAUGAACAAAAACUUAUCCCUAAUAAAUGAACAUGUGAUUAGGUUACAAUCUCCAUUAGCAUCGUGUUAUUCAUCGUUUGCUACUCUAAUUUACCUUUACUGGAAAAAUGUCGCUUAAAUAUUUUAAAACUCAUAAUAUUCUUAUCACGUCGCAUUAAACUGUUACGAGUCGACUUUAAUGCCUUGUUAAAUGGCUAUUCAUUGUCA
Molecule: unclassified non-coding RNA, 256 nt
Filed under: Moritella viscosa
Lineage: Bacteria; Pseudomonadati; Pseudomonadota; Gammaproteobacteria; Alteromonadales; Moritellaceae
Description: putative sRNA
Source: RNAcentral